GUGUAGCUCAGCUGGAUAGAGCGUCUGGCUACGGACCAGAAGGUCGUGGGUUCGAAUCCUGUCACG
Molecule: transfer RNA, 66 nt
Filed under: Waltera intestinalis
Lineage: Bacteria; Bacillati; Bacillota; Clostridia; Lachnospirales; Lachnospiraceae
Also listed under: 4 other names
Rfam family: tRNA
About the family: Transfer RNA (tRNA) molecules are approximately 80 nucleotides in length. Their secondary structure includes four short double-helical elements and three loops (D, anti-codon, and T loops). Further hydrogen bonds mediate the characteristic L-shaped molecular structure. tRNAs have two regions of fundamental functional importance: the anti-codon, which is responsible for specific mRNA codon recognition, and the 3' end, to which the tRNAs corresponding amino acid is attached (by aminoacyl-tRNA synthetases). tRNAs cope with the degeneracy of the genetic code in two manners: having more than one tRNA (with a specific anti-codon) for a particular amino acid; and 'wobble' base-pairing, i.e. permitting non-standard base-pairing at the 3rd anti-codon position.
Source: RNAcentral